Molecule: ribosomal RNA, 492 nt
Filed under: uncultured bacterium
Lineage: Bacteria
Description: partial 16S ribosomal RNA
Rfam family: Bacterial small subunit ribosomal RNA
Source: RNAcentral
AGUGAACGCUGGCGGUAGGCCUAACACAUGCAAGUCGAACGGCAGCACAGUAAGAGCUUGCUCUUACGGGUGGCGAGUGGCGGACGGGUGAGGUAUACAUCGGAAUCUACUUUUUCGUGGGGGAUAACGUAGGGAAACUUACGCUAAUACCGCAUACGACCUACGGGUGAAAGCAGGGGAUCUUCGGACCUUGCGCGAUUGAAUGAGCCGAUGUCGGAUUAGCUAGUUGGCGGGGUAAAGGCCCACCAAGGCGACGAUCCGUAGCUGGUCUGAGAGGAUGAUCAGCCACACUGGAACUGAGACACGGUCCAGACUCCUACGGGAGGCCGCAGUGGGGAAUAUUGGACAAUGGGGGCAAGCCUGAUCCAGCCAUACCGCGUGGGUGAAGAAGGCCUUCGGGUUGUAAAGCCCUUUUGUUGGGAAAGAAAAGCAGCAGGUUAAUACCCCGCUGUUCUGACGGUACCCAAAGAAUAAGCACCGGCUAACUUCGUG